This 253-nucleotide ribosomal RNA is filed under the name uncultured bacterium. Its description in RNAcentral is "partial 16S ribosomal RNA". It matches the Rfam family "Bacterial small subunit ribosomal RNA", at positions 524 to 776 of the family's 1533-position model. The record is from RNAcentral.
UACGUAGGGUGCAAGCGUUAAUCGGAAUUACUGGGCGUAAAGGGUGCGCAGGCGGUUACAUAAGUCAGAUGUGAAAUCCCCGGGCUUAACCUGGGAAUGGCAUUUGAGACUGUGUGGCUAGAGUGUGUCAGAGGGGGGUAGAAUUCCACGUGUAGCAGUGAAAUGCGUAGAGAUGUGGAGGAACACCGAUGGCGAAGGCAGCCCCCUGGGAUAACACUGACGCUCAGGCACGAAAGCGUGGGGAGCAAACAGG